This 254-nucleotide ribosomal RNA is filed under the name uncultured bacterium. RNAcentral describes it as "partial 16S ribosomal RNA". It matches the Rfam family "Bacterial small subunit ribosomal RNA", at positions 524 to 776 of the family's 1533-position model. The record is from RNAcentral.
UACGUAGGGACCAAGCGUUGUUCGGAUUUACUGGGCGUAAAGGGCGCGUAGGCGGCCACCGCAAGUCGGUUGUGAAAUCUCUGGGCUUAACCCAGAAAGGUCAACCGAUACUGCGGGGCUAGAGUGCAGAAGGGGCAACUGGAAUUCUCGGUGUAGCGGUGAAAUUCGUAGAUAUCGGGAGGAACACCAGUGGCGAAGGCGCUGACCUGGACGAUGAUUGACGCUGAGGCGCGAAAGCGUGGGGAGCAAACAGG